RNAcentral lists this RNase P RNA (338 nucleotides) under Candidatus Woesearchaeota archaeon. RNAcentral describes it as "RNase P RNA component". It matches the Rfam family "Archaeal RNase P". Rfam says of the family: Ribonuclease P (RNase P) is a ubiquitous endoribonuclease, found in archaea, bacteria and eukarya as well as chloroplasts and mitochondria. Its best characterised activity is the generation of mature 5'-ends of tRNAs by cleaving the 5'-leader elements of precursor-tRNAs. Lineage: Archaea; Nanobdellati; Candidatus Woesearchaeota. The record is from RNAcentral.
GGCAGGGAUGGUUCUUGGCCUCGCCUUUUGGUGAGGAAAGUCUCCACACCUUUCAAAAGCCACUCCGAUAAACAGGAGGUUCAGCAAUGGACGGCUCUGGAACAGAAACGAACGCCCUUUGCGACGCUGUGAGAUUGCGAAGCGCUUGGUGACAGGCGUGAGAUAACCAGUCGAGUUUGCGCAAAGGUGUCGAUGCAACGAUCACCCUGGCUGGUGCAAGUCCUCAGGACGCAUUAGUUGAAUGCCAAGGCGCGCGUUUGCGAAGGUUCAAUGCCUUCAACACUCUUCUUUGACGAGUGUUUCACGCCCGACAAAAUGGAGCUUAUUCCAUCCCUGCC